Molecule: long non-coding RNA, 606 nt
Filed under: Homo sapiens (human)
Lineage: Eukaryota; Metazoa; Chordata; Mammalia; Primates; Hominidae
Description: HSALNT0324800
Source: RNAcentral
GCCAUCUUGAUAAGGGAGUUUCGCAAUAAAGCAUUUGCCGGGUGGGUGACUGAUAGCAAAGCUGUGUUUCCUGGGGAAAAGUGUGGCAUCUUCAGUUUACAUCAACUUGCUCUCAUCUGAGACAAAACUCUGUGUGUCCCUGCUGCGAUGGAUGCCAGAUAGAGCCUGCUUGCCUAGGAUGGGGACAGAUGCCAUUGGAAACAGCAAAUUUACAACAGCGGCCAGUACUUUUGCAAGAUCGCUGGAGAGAAUUCAUCAUCAGAAUAGAGAUUGCAAGACCAUCACGAUGACUUCACGUCAGUGCCAGCAUAUGCAGCCGUGGAAUACAGUGAGCGCUCUCUGCGGCUGACAGCAAUAGCGGUGAUCUAAUUUACCCGGCGACUGGAAGAAACUCUUUGUACAGGCUCUGGGUCCCUUUGGAUUAGUGACUUCAAGGUCAACUGGAGGAGAAAGGAAGCAGGGCUGAGGGUCACCCUCUCCUGUCUCAUUUGCAUGCUCUUGAAUAUAUGAUUUUAAGAAACAUGCGUUUUUGAUCUGCAAUGUAAAAAUUCCUCAAUGAUUUUUUGUACAGAUGUGCAGAAUACAGGAAUGAAAUAAAAUAUUGAG